CAGCCGCCGCGGUAAUACGUAGGGUGCAAGCGUUAAUCGGAAUUACUGGGCGUAAAGCGUGCGCAGGCGGUUAUAUAAGACAGAUGUGAAAUCCCCGGGCUCAACCUGGGAACUGCAUUUGUGACUGUAUAGCUAGAGUACGGCAGAGGGGGAUGGAAUUCCGCGUGUAGCAGUGAAAUGCGUAGAUAUGCGGAGGAACACCGAUGGCGAAGGCAAUCCCCUGGGCCUGUACUGACGCUCAUGCACGAAAGCGUGGGGAGCAAACAGGAUUAGAUACCCGAGUAGUCCCUGUCUCUUAUAU
RNAcentral lists this ribosomal RNA (301 nucleotides) under uncultured bacterium. RNAcentral's name for it is "partial 16S ribosomal RNA". It matches the Rfam family "Bacterial small subunit ribosomal RNA", at positions 509 to 809 of the family's 1533-position model. The record is from RNAcentral.